GACGAACGCUGGCGGCGUGCUUAACACAUGCAAGUCGAACGGAAAGGCCCUGCUUUUGUGGGGUGCUCGAGUGGCGAACGGGUGAGUAACACGUGAGUAACCUGCCCUUGACUUUGGGAUAACUUCAGGAAACUGGGGCUAAUACCGGAUAGGAGCUCCUGCUGCAUGGUGGGGGUUGGAAAGUUUCGGCGGUUGGGGAUGGACUCGCGGCUAAUCAGCUUGUUGGUGGGGUAGUGGCUUACCAAGGCUUUGACGGGUAGCCGGCCUGAGAGGGUGACCGGCCACAUUGGGACUGAGAUACGGCCCAGACUCCUACGGGAGGCAGCAGUGGGGAAUAUUGCACAAUGGGCGGAAGCCUGAUGCAGCAACGCCGCGUGCGGGAUGACGGCCUUCGGGUUGUAAACCGCUUUCGCCUGUGACGAAGCGUGAGUGACGGUAAUGGGUAAAGAAGCACCGGCUAACUACGU
RNAcentral lists this ribosomal RNA (467 nucleotides) under uncultured bacterium. RNAcentral's name for it is "partial 16S ribosomal RNA". It matches the Rfam family "Bacterial small subunit ribosomal RNA", at positions 28 to 506 of the family's 1533-position model. The record is from RNAcentral.